Molecule: ribosomal RNA, 256 nt
Filed under: uncultured Leptotrichia sp.
Lineage: Bacteria; Fusobacteriati; Fusobacteriota; Fusobacteriia; Fusobacteriales; Leptotrichiaceae
Description: partial 16S ribosomal RNA
Rfam family: Bacterial small subunit ribosomal RNA
Source: RNAcentral
CGGACGGGUGAGUAACGUGUAAAGAACUUACCAUAUAGACUGGGAUAACAGAGGGAAACUUCUGAUAAUACUGGAUAAGUUAGUAUAUCGCAUGAUAUGCAAAUGAAAGCUACGGCACUAAAGGAGAGCUUUGCGUCCUAUUAGCUAGCUGGUAAGGUAAGAGCUUACCAAGGCGAUGAUAGGUAGCCGGCCUGAGAGGGUGGACGGCCACAAGGGGACUGAGAUACGGCCCUUACUCCUACGGGAGGCAGCAGCG